This 82-nucleotide transfer RNA is filed under the name Fibroporia radiculosa. It matches the Rfam family "tRNA". From Rfam's summary of the family: Transfer RNA (tRNA) molecules are approximately 80 nucleotides in length. Lineage: Eukaryota; Fungi; Basidiomycota; Agaricomycetes; Polyporales; Fibroporiaceae. The record is from Rfam by way of RNAcentral.
GGCCGCCUGGCGAAAUGGCAUCGCGUCUGACUACGAUUUCGAAGUUAUCAGGAGAUUGCAGGUUCGACCCCUGCGGUGGUCA